GACGAACGCUGGCGGCGUGCUUAACACAUGCAAGUCGAGCGGUAAGGCCCUUUCGGGGGUACACGAGCGGCGAACGGGUGAGUAACACGUGGGUGACCUGCCCUCAGCUCUGGGAUAAGCCUGGGAAACCGGGUCUAAUACCGGAUAUGACUCCAUGACGCAUGUUGUGGGGUGGAAAGCCUUGUGCGGCUGAGGAUGGGCCCGCGGCCUAUCAGCUUGUUGGUGGGGUGANGGCCUACCAAGGCGACGACGGGUAGCCGGCCUGAGAGGCGACCGGCCACACUGGGACUGAGACACGGCCCAGACUCCUACGGGAGGCAGCAGUGGGGAAUCUUGCGCAAUGGGCGAAAGCCUGACGCAGCGACGCCGCGUAAGGGAUGACGGCC
Molecule: ribosomal RNA, 386 nt
Filed under: uncultured bacterium
Lineage: Bacteria
Description: bacterial SSU rRNA
Rfam family: Bacterial small subunit ribosomal RNA
Source: RNAcentral